This is a long non-coding RNA of Homo sapiens (human), 1559 nucleotides long. RefSeq lists it as uncharacterized. The transcript is spliced from 3 exons. The record is from RefSeq and is a predicted model, not a curated record. NCBI's taxonomy places the organism in Eukaryota, Metazoa, Chordata, Mammalia, Primates, Hominidae.
UGGCACUCCGUGCUUGCCUAGCGACAUACUCACAACCACAUAGAUAAGGGGGAGUUGUGCAGACAGCUUUUCAGGGUUAAGCAAUUGACUAUCAAUCAAUAAUCUUUUAUGAAAGAAGAGAUGGUGCAGCACACGCAUGCCCAAUAUUAAGAGAGAGAAGACAUUUAUUGAGGCAAGCAGCUGGAGUGGACCUGCCCCCAUCACCAGGCCAGCUUCCCACCUGCACGUGCAGCUCUUUCUUCUUUUGCAGGAGGCUGGCUCUGCUCAUUAGACAUGCAACAAAGAGCUGGCCUGUGGAGCACACAUCCAUAUUCAUAACUCAAGUCAGCUGGAAAGUUGUACAUUUUUCUUUCUGGGAAGUCAUGGCGACAAAGACUGAAGACCCAGGCAGCACAAAUGUGAAUGAUGGAUCUCUUGGAAGAACAACAAAGACUGAAGUGAGUAUAUUUUAUGCUUGGAAAUGAGCAAAUCAUUCCUUUUGACAAGCCAUUGAUGUUGGGGGUGAGUAUCUGUCUAUCAGGAAUUGAGCUAGAUUUGAGAUUUUUUUCUUGUUAUUGUUACUCUUGGUACUCCAGAAGCUUUAAAUACUUUUAAUAUUCCCUGUUAUAACAGCUGCUCUGCCAAAGAGGUUUUGUCCACAUCUGCUCAACUCUUAGCUUUAUGCUUUCCAUUUGCUCAAUGUCUCAGAGAUUAUCUUAACUCUGUUGCUUGUCUUUCAACAGCGAAAAGCUAUUACUGGCUACUUGAUAUUGGUUGGCCUGUUGUUGGAGGAUGAAGUCUGUUCUUGUAAUCUGAUUAAGCCUCAGUUUUAGGCAGACACUAAUCUCAAACUCCCUGGAGAAAAGCCUUCUAAGUAAUCCUGCCCCAUCUUCGCCUGGAGUGCUAAGCUAAGCAUGAAUUCCUAAUCAUCCUCUAAGAUUAGACAACUUUUUUUUUUUCUCCAAUUGAAGAGGGUUUUUACUCAGACCCACUCAGUGGGUGACAGUGUUUGCAGCAUUUUCCCCAGAUCUUUAAGGUUGUGUUUCAUAAGAAAAAGAGCCACUCUUGGAUUUGUGACUUUCCCACAGUGGCUGCGAUUUCCCCCCGCUGGACCUGAACUGCCAGGAAUGAUUACUCAAGACUUUUGUCAGUCUUUAUUGUGAAGACAAUACCUGGUGAGGUCUGUGAAGAAGAGUCUGUUGAAGCAUUUAAAUUUCUCUUGUCUCAGCCCCUAGAGGUUUUAUAGUCUCUUUUUUGCUGACACUAUGCCAUUACCACUUGUUAUACAUUUUAUCUGAAUUCUUCUUAUGGGUGUCUGGUGGUCCUUGCCCAGGUAAGCAGGUGCUUAUGCACCGUUUCUACUGGGUGGUGACUGACUUGUCUUAGAUUUUCUGUUCAAGAAAAUGUAGAAAUUUUCAUAUUAUGCAGAAUAGGUUCUGGGAUCGAAGUGAUGAAGUUUUAAUUUUCUAUCCUCUAAAUAGAAGGUAGAAAUUACACUUUUACUUUUAGAAACAGGUAUGAUUUGUUUGUUUGAAUUGAUAUGUGUAGAGCACUGAUAUUUACUGUAUUAUAUGAUUUGG